Molecule: long non-coding RNA, 1501 nt
Filed under: Heterocephalus glaber (naked mole-rat)
Lineage: Eukaryota; Metazoa; Chordata; Mammalia; Rodentia; Bathyergidae
Description: lncRNA (ENSHGLG00100048653.1)
Source: RNAcentral
GGGUGGCAGAGGCUGUGGUGCACCCUGCAGCUGUGGCUGCUCCUCGAGAGGCCACGGACCUGGCAGGAGCCAGCUAGUGCAGCAUGAUGGGCUUCUGGAAAGAUGUUUCUGGGUGCACGGAACACAGGAAGUUGAGCUGGAGCAGUUGAACUAGAUGGGUGGCUGGCAGAGCUCUGAAGAACAAGAUGAUAAAGAUGAGUCUCUUUACCCACUGGGGCAAUUGUCCCUGCAGCUUGAAUAUUUCCUGCCCUAUGGAGGUACUCAGUGAGUCCUUGUGGAAUGUAUCUGCACAUGGCUGUGUGUGGGUAACCCCUUUAUAACUGAGCCACUUUAUUCUUCAAAUUUUGAGGACAGAGGCCUACAUUCUGGGGUUUUUAUUCUCUCUCUUUACCCUAGAAGGAUACUGGACUUGAAAUAGGAAACAUUGAAGAAUGAAACUGAGUGAUGCAGUAGCUAGUGGGGUGACAUCAGUGUCUGAAAUCCACCUCUGAGAUAUCCUGAGGGGUCCUGCUUAUGUUUCCAGUACUCUGUGUGUAUCAGAGACCAAAAAGAAAAUGACAAAACUUAGCAAAUGCACUCACCUCUAAUGACCUAGAUGACACUAGCCAGUCACCUUACAUCUCAAGGCCUUGAUGUUAUCCUCAGAGAAGGGAAGGUCUAGAACUAGGUGAUCCCUUCCAGAGACCUGUGCUGGCCUUCACACGUGCUUGCAGCAAGGCUGAGACCUGCUGGCCUCACCAGAAAAUACUUUGCUGUGGAUUAACUGCGUCCCUGUUCAGCCCUGCAUCUGUCAGGACUGUCAGCAUGGGUACUGCUAGGUUUGAAAUGGCUGAGAACGAAUCUUGGGGUCAUGCAUGGGCUUUAGUCAGCCAUACCUGAGUGAAGUUCUUCAGUGUUAAGUAGCUGCAGAACUUGGGCAAAUUAUUAACUUCUCUAUACCUCAAUUUUAGCAUCUCUAAAAUGGGAAUAACAAUUAUAUCCACCUCACUGGCUGUGGUAAGGAUUAAGAGAUAAACUAUUGAGGCCUGAGGAUGAGCUCAGUGAUAGAGUUCUUGCCCAACCUGCACAAGACCUUGGGUUUAAUCCUUAGCACCACAAAACAAAAACAAAAACAAAAAAUGUAAUCCCAGCAAUCUGGAAGGCUGAGGCAGAAGGAUUGCAAGUUUGAGCCCAGCCUUGGCAAUUCAGCAAGACCCUGACUCCAAAUCAAUAUAAAAAAGGCUGGGAGUGUAGCUGUAAUGUGAAGGCCCUAAAUUCAAUCCCCAGUAUCACAGAAAGAAAAAGGAGGGGAGAGAGAGGUGGGGCUGGUGUGGGGGGAGGAUUUACCAUUGGUAAAUAUGCUUGGCCUGAUGACCGUUGCUAUAAUUUUGUGAUUUAUGUUUAUAGAAGCUACAGAACCUGCUUCACCAUCCUUGCUCUUGUCUAGGCUGUCUUCCCUCAGCCUCUGUCUAUCUGUUUCUCUGUCCAUUACUGACAGUCUGCUUUUCUUUCUAGAGUCAGU